CUUGUACCAAGUCCACGCACCGUGGCACAGGCCAUGGACGAGCACAAACCUUUUCUGGUUGUUCUUCUCCAUUAUCUUUUUUACUUUCAGCAUCUUGUGGUUCAACACUUAUAAAUUAUUAAGUUUCCCGCAUUUACUAUUUGGAUGGUGACUAAUAGAUUUUGGUCAUUGUCUGACAUCUAUUAGAAUUCUAAACCGACACUAUAUUGACCAUUAGUUUAUUUAUUUAUUUGUUUCAACCAUCGAAAGCAAUAAAUUCUAACCUUCUGCAGCAAACACUUAAGUGCAUCAAAACCUCGUACAUUUGCAUUGGUAGGCUUGAAGGCUCUGAUACCGUAUAGAUUUAGAUCGAAGUAUCUUUCUUUUCAUGAAAUCAUGACGCUUUGUAAUUUCUUUAAAGGUCAUUACAGUAUUCAUUACCAUUCUUGCAUACAGGUCUUACAUGAAUCUUUAAUCGUUUGUUCUUAUGAAUCUUUAUUCUCAUAUGGUUGAUUGUUGUGGUGGAAGCUGAAGUUGGUUAUUUAUUUGCAGUGACAAUCUCAGGUUUACUUAGGCGUAUUCAUCUGCAAUCUCCAAGAGAAGAGCACAUAGUUCUUUAGGCCUGGAAGACAUUGCCAUAUGAUCUGCAUCUUGGAUCUCCAUUACUUCUUUCACCGGAAAGUUACUGAUCAUCCAACGCUGGUAUUCCUCAGGUAAUAUAUUAUCCUCUCCACAUAUGAUAUAAAUACGUUUAACCGAUCCAUACCCUUCCUCAGUAAAGCUUCUUGUCCCUGUCAGAUUGGUCGUAACCACCGGGUUCACCCUUACCAACAAUUUCGCCAAUACAAGAUCCUAACCGUUGAGAACAGAGAAUAGAAAAAGAUUGACUGGGGUUACUAGCAAUCUCAUUUGUUAGAAUAAG
Molecule: long non-coding RNA, 901 nt
Filed under: Capsella grandiflora
Lineage: Eukaryota; Viridiplantae; Streptophyta; Magnoliopsida; Brassicales; Brassicaceae
Description: long non-coding RNA (CGRA_LNC000492)
Source: RNAcentral